GGUUUAAUAGUCAAAUAUGAUUUUGGAUUGCAAAUCUAAAGGUGAACUUUUAAGUUUUUAAGCCU
Molecule: transfer RNA, 65 nt
Filed under: Impressosora (Neoeutrapela) sp. EUT01
Lineage: Eukaryota; Metazoa; Arthropoda; Insecta; Coleoptera; Tenebrionidae
Description: Eutrapela sp. EUT01 tRNA-Cys
Rfam family: tRNA
About the family: Transfer RNA (tRNA) molecules are approximately 80 nucleotides in length.
Source: RNAcentral